UCCAGCUGCUCUGUCACUGUAUGCUAACAUAGGCACAGCCAUGUGCUUCUCCUCUUGGAGAAGCAAGGUGCAGACCCUUCUCAAGAGCCUGAAGGAAAUCAUCCAAUUAGACUAACAGCUGCAGAGAUUGGAAUAAGCCUUGCAUAUUACAAAAUUAUAGAAAAUGCAGCUGAGUGCUAUGGAAAGGAGCUAAGGCUGCAGUUCCUCACGAACUGGUUCAGCAUGGGGACCUCCAUGUAAUGCAGUCCCUCAAGAAAAUCUUCUCCAGCAUGUGUCCCCACCAUGGGAUCCCAGAAGCUGUCAGAAAAUCUACUUCAGAAUGCACUCCUCUCUGCUUGGGUCCACCUGUCCUGCUCCAGCCUGCUUCAGCAUGAAUUUCCCACAGGGUCACACUUUCGGCAGGGUACGUCUACCUGCUCCAGUGUGGAGUCCUCCAGAGACUGCAGGUGGAUCUGUGCUCCCCCAUGGACUGCAGGGGCACAGCUGCCUCUCAAUGGUCUGCACCAUGGGCUGCAGGAAAACCUCUGCUCCCGUGCCUGGAGCACCUCCUCCUCUCCCUCCUUCUUCAGUGUCAUUGCUGUUUCUCUCACACAUUCUCACUGCUCUCUCCUGUGGAUGCCAUGGGACAGAGAGAGAGAAAUGACAAACAUUUCUCACAGUGGCUUGUGAGAACUUCCAGGGAGUUGUAAGGAUGUGAUAACUUGCUAAGUAUGAACAAUCUGCAGGUGGUGUUUUUCUACUUUGUCUUUCUGUUCUCAAGGAUGGAGUAUGAGAAAGGUGUUUUUGGUAACUAGCCAAUCAAAUAGAAUGCAUCGUAUCACUCCAUAAAAACUG
Melospiza melodia melodia is the source of this 834-nucleotide long non-coding RNA. RefSeq lists it as uncharacterized. The transcript has 3 exons. NCBI's taxonomy places the organism in Eukaryota, Metazoa, Chordata, Aves, Passeriformes, Passerellidae. The record is from RefSeq and is a predicted model, not a curated record.